Molecule: ribosomal RNA, 508 nt
Filed under: uncultured bacterium
Lineage: Bacteria
Description: partial 16S ribosomal RNA
Rfam family: Bacterial small subunit ribosomal RNA
Source: RNAcentral
GAUGAACGCUAGCUACAGGCUUAACACAUGCAAGUCGAGGGGAAACGAUAUUGGAAGCUUGCUUCCGAUAGGCGUCGACCGGCGCACGGGUGAGUAACGCGUAUCCAACCUGCCCAUCACUUGGGGAUAACCUUGCGAAAGUAAGACUAAUACCCAAUGAUAUCUCUAGAAGACAUCUGAAGGAGAUUAAAGAUUUAUCGGUGAUGGAUGGGGAUGCGUCUGAUUAGCUUGUUGGCGGGGUAACGGCCCACCAAGGCGACGAUCAGUAGGGGGUCUGAGAGGAAGGUCCCCCACAUUGGAACUGAGACACGGUCCAAACUCCUACGGGAGGCAGCAGUGAGGAAUAUUGGUCAAUGGGCGAGAGCCUGAACCAGCCAAGUGGCGUGCAGGAUGACGGCCCUAUGGGUUGUAAACUGCCUUUAUAAGGGAAUAAAGUGAGUCUCGUGAGACUUUUUGCAUGUACCUUAUGAAUAAGGACCGGCUAAUUCCGUGCCAGCCGCCGCAGUAA